This is a non-coding RNA of Malus domestica (apple), 956 nucleotides long. NCBI's taxonomy places the organism in Eukaryota, Viridiplantae, Streptophyta, Magnoliopsida, Rosales, Rosaceae. The record is from RefSeq and is a predicted model, not a curated record.
CUUCCUUGCACCGGUGCUUUUCCCUUUCCUCUAUUCUCCUGUCCUCAUUUCCUUAUCCUUCUUUUCUAUUCUGUUCGAACACUUGCAACCAAUUCCAAAUAUAGAGUGUCUUGUUUUGAGUGACUCCGUGAGCUCCCCAGUGCUUCAGAUAGCCAUCGAGGGAAGACAGAUUCGGGAACUCCACUUCUGGUACUUCAGUCAUGCAUUUCCGAGGCUAGAUCAAGGAGGUCUGUGAGAAGUGACUCCCCUGCUUCUUCUGAUGUUUCUAGACCAACAAGCCGGAAGAAGUUCAAUGUUCUGGCCUCACCAUCUUACUGGCUGCAGCAGAUUAAGCUGUCUGAGGCUGCUGGCAAGCACUCGAUUUCACUCGGGUUUUUCAAACUAGCCUUGGAGGCUGAAUGUGAGUCUCUUCAACUGCGUUAUGAGCUCAAAUCUUACGUUGAUCGCUACGAGCUUAGUGACCUUGAAGACCCUCUGAAGGAAUUACUGGAGAGCAAAAGUGUUGCAUAGUAAGUUCAAAAGCCAUAAGACCGCCAACAUAGGAGAUAUGGCGUAAAAGCAAAUCAUUGGCGUACCUUGGCUGCCAACGUGAGGAAAAUACUUAAAUCGUCGUUGGAGAAUCACCUCCAUAACUUCUGCUCCUAUAAGUUUAGCAGCAUCAAUUGCAAGCUCUGUCACAGUUGGUCCCGUAAUAUCAACAGAAUUUCCAUAAGACGAGAAUAAUAAAAUAUCAGUGUCAGCAUAGAAUUUCUGCAUUGCAACUGGAUUUCCGAUUGUUGCAGGAUUGCUCAUAUAUUCUUCAAAGUAGAAGAAACCGAUCGGCAUAUGUUCUAUUCCUUUAACCUUCAAAACUAUAGUGUAGUAGUCAAUUGUCUGUACUUUGCUAAACAACUCCUUCUCGAAUAAGCUACAUAGUAUGUAGCUAAAUUAGACAAAUACAAACUGUGUGGUGUGAA